Molecule: ribosomal RNA, 465 nt
Filed under: uncultured Pantoea sp.
Lineage: Bacteria; Pseudomonadati; Pseudomonadota; Gammaproteobacteria; Enterobacterales; Erwiniaceae
Description: bacterial SSU rRNA
Rfam family: Bacterial small subunit ribosomal RNA
Source: RNAcentral
CCUACGGGAGGCUGCAGUGGGGAAUAUUGCACAAUGGGCGCAAGCCUGAUGCAGCCAUGCCGCGUGUAUGAAGAAGGCCUUCGGGUUGUAAAGUACUUUCAGCGGGGAGGAAGGCGAUGCGGUUAAUAACCGCGUCGAUUGACGUUACCCGCAGAAGAAGCACCGGCUAACUCCGUGCCAGCAGCCGCGGUAAUACGGAGGGUGCAAGCGUUAAUCGGAAUUACUGGGCGUAAAGCGCACGCAGGCGGUCUGUUAAGUCAGAGGUGAAAUCCCCGGGCUUAACCGGGGAACUGCAUUUGAAACUGGCAGGCUUGAGUCUUGUAGAGGGGGGUAGAAUUCCAGGUGUAGCGGUGAAAUGCGUAGAGAUCGGGAGGAAUACCGGUGGCGAAGGCGGCCCCCUGGACAAAGACUGACGCUCAGGUGCGAAAGCGUGGGGAGCAAACAGGAUUAGAUACCCCGGUAGUC